Molecule: ribosomal RNA, 497 nt
Filed under: uncultured bacterium
Lineage: Bacteria
Description: partial 16S ribosomal RNA
Rfam family: Bacterial small subunit ribosomal RNA
Source: RNAcentral
GAUGAACGCUGGCGGCGUGCCUAAUACAUGCAAGUCGAGCGAACAGACGAGGAGCUUGCUCCUCUGACGUUAGCGGCGGACGGGUGAGUAACACGUGGAUAACCUACCUAUAAGACUGGGAUAACUUCGGGAAACCGGAGCUAAUACCGGAUAACAUAUUGAACCGCAUGGUUCAAUAGUGAAAGACGGUUUUGCUGUCACUUAUAGAUGGAUCCGCGCCGCAUUAGCUAGUUGGUAAGGUAACGGCUUACCAAGGCAACGAUGCGUAGCCGACCUGAGAGGGUGAUCGGCCACACUGGAACUGAGACACGGUCCAGACUCCUACGGGAGGCAGCAGUAGGGAAUCUUCCGCAAUGGGCGAAAGCCUGACGGAGCAACGCCGCGUGAGUGAUGAAGGUCUUCGGAUCGUAAAACUCUGUUAUUAGGGAAGAACAAAUGUGUAAGUAACUAUGCACGUCUUGACGGUACCUAAUCAGAAAGCCACGGCUAACUACGUG